GAGAAGUCAACAAAGAAAAAAGAAAAAGAAACAGAAAAGAACUAGGAAAAAAAAGAAACAGAGAAACAGAGUCGUAAACUAACAGAGAAGGUAACAUAGAAACAGAGUAACAAACUAACAAAGAAGUCAAGAAACAGAGAAGAAGAAAAGCAGAGAGAGAAGGUCAAGGCAAAGUAAGAAGAAGAACAACCAGUGUGAGAGUCGUUGGAGCUGCGAUCAAGUCGUCGGAGCUGCGAUGGGCAGAAGAAGUCUCGAUAGAGUCUCACGAUAGGUCGAAAAUGCGAAUCUGUCUCCUUUUAUCUGCAGAAAAAGGUUUUCUUUUAAUCAAUUUUAGCCUUUCUCCUUCUCUUUUAUUU
Molecule: long non-coding RNA, 356 nt
Filed under: Panax ginseng (ginseng)
Lineage: Eukaryota; Viridiplantae; Streptophyta; Magnoliopsida; Apiales; Araliaceae
Description: long non-coding RNA (PGIN_LNC018340)
Source: RNAcentral